RNAcentral lists this small RNA (911 nucleotides) under Pan troglodytes (chimpanzee). RNAcentral describes it as "retained intron". The record is from RNAcentral. Lineage: Eukaryota; Metazoa; Chordata; Mammalia; Primates; Hominidae.
ACAAGUGGGAAGAGACAGGAGAGAGGGGACAUAACCAUUUAGGGUCCUGAUGCCAAAUGAAAAGUCAAGGAUUCCAUCUCAGGGGAACUGGGGAGCCCUGCGAGAGCUGUGAGCAGGGAGACGGGAGAGAGUAGGAUGAGCCUCCUCUGGGGCUGGGCUGGGGAAGGAUGGGGCUCCCUUGCCCCACCCAACCAGGCUGCCCUCCACCAGGAAUUAUGGGCCCACCGUGUUAGUGCAACAGGAGGCACUCAAGCGGGGCUGUGAACAGGUCCUCUGGCUGUAUGGGCCCGACCACCAGCUCACCGAGGUGGGAACCAUGAACAUCUUUGUCUACUGGACCCACGAAGAUGGGGUGCUGGAGCUGGUGACGCCCCCGCUGAAUGGUGUUAUCCUGCCUGGAGUGGUCAGACAGAGUCUACUGGACAUGGCUCAGACCUGGGGUGAGUUCCGGGUGGUGGAGCGCACGAUCACCAUGAAGCAGUUGCUGCGGGCCCUGGAGGAGGGCCGCGUGCGGGAAGUCUUUGGCUCGGGCACCGCUUGCCAGGUCUGCCCAGUGCACCGAAUCCUGUACAAAGACAGGGUGAGGCGGGGCUGCCAUUGUGGGUGGGACGGAAGGAGGGGAGGGGCUUGGUCCUCACCGCACCUUCUGUCCCAGAACCUCCACAUUCCCACCAUGGAAAAUGGGCCUGAGCUGAUCCUCCGCUUCCAGAAGGAGCUGAAGGAGAUCCAGGUGAGCUGCAGGGAGCUGGGGAAUGGGCUGGGAGCUUGUUCCCUGGAGAAGUUGGUGUCCCAUGAGCCCCUGGGCUAACAGCCAGCCUCCUUCAGUAGUACCAGGAACAGAUAAUGGCCUUUCUUAUUGAGGCCCUGGAGAGUGGGCUUUCCGUGCUGCUCUGUGGCCUGGAAAACCCCUU